RNAcentral lists this long non-coding RNA (1231 nucleotides) under Homo sapiens (human). RNAcentral's name for it is "HSALNT0344119". Lineage: Eukaryota; Metazoa; Chordata; Mammalia; Primates; Hominidae. The record is from RNAcentral.
CAUGCCCGAGGCUGAGGCCAGCCUGGCGGGUGUCAGCAACGCGUGUCAGCAGCCGCGGCGGAGGGAUAAACACUGGGCCUAGAAAGGGAGCCUGGGAAAGGCCAGAGAUGGCGGCCAGGAUUCCCUUUGCAUCGGCUCUCUGGAUUCUGCUUUUAAUUUCCCUGCUCUCCAGACUGGGGGGCGCUCCCUGAGCCACUCCUUAUCCUGAGGCUCCCUAGGAAAUCACUCCCCGAUUAUCUGAGGAUCCUACCAGGCUGGGGAAAGAAGAGCAAGUUUCUUCGAAGGCAUGCCCCACCCCACCACACACCCUUCACUGAGAUCCUGGAAUACAGGGAUGGGACAGAAAGCCUGCCCCUCCUCCACAGACCUGGAACCUGAGACCCAAAGAGGGAAGAGUCACUCAAGGUCACAUGGCAGUCAGUGGCAAAGGAUCAUCUUGUUCCUCCGCUUCACACAAUACUGACCAUCGGACUGACCCCUCCUUCCCCCAACCACCGUUACAAGCACGCGUUGUCCUGUGCUCACAGGGUCAUGGACAAGGAAUGUCAUCCUCUCCCAACUCCCAGGGCCCUUGGCAGUCACACCCACUGUGGCUCAUGCAGCCUUAGGGACAGGCACAUGAAUGCUGCCCACCCCCAGGACAUUUGCCUAAUCUGGGACCCUUCUAGAAGCCUCCCUACCAGGCAGGCAUUAGGGGUGCUGUACUCCCGGUCCCCAUAAGGGAAUUAGGUGACAGUCUCCAGGGCAAGAAAACCCACAACUUGGGGGUACCACAGGGAGCUGCUUACCCUCAAAGCCCAGCUCUAGCCCCAGGACACCCUGUCUCCACAGAGCCCACAAGCUCGCAGCCUUGUCAAAGACACCUCCCCACCGCCCAUACAGGGUCUAACUCACGGGUGACACAUGGGCUCAGGGUUAUAUACACACGGCACACACAAGAAGAGAUUAUGAGCUGACCCUGCAUCCACGGCUUUUCAGUCCCUCCGGCACAACACAGUCAAGAUCUGGCAAGACCAGUGUGCGCGCUGGACUCUCGGGAUCCCAGGGUUUGGGUCGUACACACUCUUAUGCCCUUGCACACAGCCCCAUCCACGUCCACGCACCCAGAGUUGGGGACACCUGCACACUCCAUCCCACAUCCCUUCCCUGCACACUCAGCGUGUCACACACACUCCGAUCCCAAAAGCCUGAGCUGAGUUUCCCGCCCCAAGCCCCAACCCCAAACCCUUUG